ACGAGUGGCGCACGGGUGAGUAACACGUGGGAAUAUGCCUUUUGGUACGGAAUAGCUUCGGGAAACUGGAAUUAAUACCGUAUGGUCCCUUCGGGGUAAAGAUUUAUCGCCAAAAGAUUAGCCCGCGUUGGAUUAGCUAGUUGGUAGUGUAAUGGACUACCAAGGCUACGAUCUAUAGCUGGUCUGAGAGGAUGAUCAGCCACACUGGAACUGAGACACGGUCCAGACUCC
This 231-nucleotide ribosomal RNA is filed under the name uncultured bacterium. Its description in RNAcentral is "partial 16S ribosomal RNA". It matches the Rfam family "Bacterial small subunit ribosomal RNA", at positions 91 to 339 of the family's 1533-position model. The record is from RNAcentral.